Molecule: ribosomal RNA, 468 nt
Filed under: uncultured bacterium
Lineage: Bacteria
Description: partial 16S ribosomal RNA
Rfam family: Bacterial small subunit ribosomal RNA
Source: RNAcentral
GACGAAUGCUGGCGGCGUGCUUAACACAUGCAAGUCGAACGGAAAGACCCUGCUUUUGUGGGGUGCUCGAGUGGCGAACGGGUGAGUAACACGUGAGUAACCUGCCCUUGACUUUGGGAUAACUUCAGGAAACUGGGGCUAAUACCGGAUAGGAGCUCCUGCUGCAUGGUGGGGGUUGGAAAGUUUCGGCGGUUGGGGAUGGACUCGCGGCUUAUCAGCUUGUUGGUGGGGUAGUGGCUUACCAAGGCUUUGACGGGUAGCCGGCCUGAGAGGGUGACCGGCCACAUUGGGACUGAGAUACGGCCCAGACUCCUACGGGAGGCAGCAGUGGGGAAUAUUGCACAAUGGGCGGAAGCCUGAUGCAGCAACGCCGCGUGCGGGAUGACGGCCUUCGGGUUGUAAACCGCUUUCGCCUGUGACGAAGCGUGAGUGACGGUAAUGGGUAAAGAAGCACCGGCUAACUACGUG